GUUGAUAAUGGGAAUUAGAGCCUAAUUUGCAAUUUGGAAUUUUGAGUAAGAGAAGGAAAAUACUAUAUGUUGGGGGCCUUUCUCUUCCGAAUGUCCUAAAAAACGUGAUUAAUAUGUUUUCAGUGUAACAUAGACUGCUACAGGAGGCUUCGGCUUUGGGAUGAAGGUAUGCGUGAUAUGGAGAUAUAACCCGAAGGCAGGAUGAACGGACGCUGAAGCUGUGGCUGAAGGAGCUUCGUCUUAGUAUAAUGAUGAAGGUGGAAGAUGAAACCGACCUAAAGGGGAAAAACUACUUAGUCCUUGAUAGCCCGCCUUAUGAUUAUCAGUAAAUAUCAGGGACAUGAAUGUAAUUUUAUCCGGACUGCGCCACGUGCUUAUAAAUAGAUGAACAGUAACACCAUACUGUUCACGCUGAAUGGUAAUCACUCUCGCGUCACUCUUGCAUUUUCACCUUCUGGCAAGCCGAAGGUAUUGAUGUAAUAUAAAUACCAUUGAUGUUUAUCCAUGUUUG
Molecule: long non-coding RNA, 511 nt
Filed under: Zea mays
Lineage: Eukaryota; Viridiplantae; Streptophyta; Magnoliopsida; Poales; Poaceae
Description: drought responsive lncRNA
Source: RNAcentral